CCUAGCCCUUCAGAGGGGGACAACAGUUGGAAACGACUGCUAAUACCGCAUACGAUCCAAUCUCGGCAUCGAGACUGGAUGAAAGGUGGCCUCUAUUUAUAAGCUAUCACUGAAGGAGGGGAUUGCGUCUGAUUAGCUAGUUGGAGGGGUAACGGCCCACCAAGGCGAUAAUCAGUAGCCGGUCUGAGAGGAUGAACGGCCACAUUGGGACUGAGACACGGCCCAG
This 226-nucleotide ribosomal RNA is filed under the name uncultured bacterium. RNAcentral describes it as "partial 16S ribosomal RNA". It matches the Rfam family "Bacterial small subunit ribosomal RNA", at positions 124 to 334 of the family's 1533-position model. The record is from RNAcentral.